UUCCGUGAGUGAUUCUGUAUAGUUUGAAC
This 29-nucleotide non-coding RNA is filed under the name Cricetulus griseus (Chinese hamster). The record is from RNAcentral. Lineage: Eukaryota; Metazoa; Chordata; Mammalia; Rodentia; Cricetidae.